GUGGGGAAUAUUGGACAAUGGGCGAAAGCCUGAUCCAGCCAUGCCGCGUGUGUGAAGAAGGUCUUCGGAUUGUAAAGCACUUUAAGUUGGGAGGAAGGGUAGUAACCUAAUACGUUGCUACUUUGACGUUACCGACAGAAUAAGCACCGGCUAACUUCGUGCCAGCAGCCGCGGUAAUACGAAGGGUGCAAGCGUUAAUCGGAAUUACUGGGCGUAAAGCGCGCGUAGGUGGUUCGUUAAGUUGGAUGUGAAAGCCCCGGGCUCAACCUGGGAACUGCAUCCAAAACUGGCGAGCUAGAGUACGGUAGAGGGUGGUGGAAUUUCCUGUGUAGCGGUGAAAUGCGUAGAUAUAGGAAGGAACACCAGUGGCGAAGGCGACCACCUGGACUGAUACUGACACUGAGGUGCGAAAGCGUGGGGAGCAAACAGGAUUAGAAACCCGAGUAGUCC
Molecule: ribosomal RNA, 450 nt
Filed under: uncultured bacterium
Lineage: Bacteria
Description: partial 16S ribosomal RNA
Rfam family: Bacterial small subunit ribosomal RNA
Source: RNAcentral